ACGAAGGGGUGGACCUGGAGCGAAUCUCAGAAAUAAACGUCUCAGUUCGGAUUGUAGUCUGCAACUCGACUACAUGAAGCUGGAAUCGCUAGUAAUCGCGGAUCAGAAUGCCGCGGUGAAUACGUUCCCGGGUCUUGUACACACCGCCCGUCACACCAUGGGAGUCGGGAAUGCCCGAAGCCAGUGACCCAAGCGAGAGCAGGGAGCUGUCGAAGGCAGGCCGGAUAACUGGGGUGAAGUCGUAACAAGGUAAC
Molecule: ribosomal RNA, 254 nt
Filed under: uncultured bacterium
Lineage: Bacteria
Description: partial 16S ribosomal RNA
Rfam family: Bacterial small subunit ribosomal RNA
Source: RNAcentral